AAGGGCACCACAAGAACGCGUGGAGCAUGUGGCUUAAUUUGACUCAACGCGGGAAAUYUUACCGGGUCCGGACACACUGAGGAUUGACAGGUUCUUUAACAAAAAAAAUAAUAUAUUUAUAUAUUUUUUUAUUUUGUUAUUAAAUAUGCUAGUCCUUUCAUGAUUGUGUGAUAGGUGGUGCAUGGCCGUUYUUAGUUCGUGGAGUGAUCUGUYUGCUUAAUUGCGUUUCAUUAAUUAGUCGCUGAUUUCAUCAAUAGUUGUUUAAACAUUUUGUCACAUAUAACUUUUUUUUUUAUUAUUAUAAAAAUUUUAGUUUGUGCAAUUAUGUUUCAACUUAAAGGUGAACAGUGACACGAAGGCAACGAACGUGACCGCAACCUCUUGUUGCCUCCUUUCUUAUAAAAUUAUAUAUAUUUUUUUAUAUAUUUUUUUUUAWAAGUUUAUAUAUUUAUUUUUUUAUUUUAAAAAAAUAAAAUCGGAGGCUUUUCAUUUUUUCAUAUUAWAUUAUUUUAUUAUUAUUUUKGAUUGCYCUUUUAUUWAAUUAUAAUKGGGUAGUUUUUAGAUUUWAUWAAAAAUAWAAUUUGAAAUGAAAACAACUAGAGGGACCGCUAGAGUAUUUUUUUAAAACAGAGGAAGGUUGCGGCAAUAACAGGUCUGUGAUGCCCUUAGAUGUUCCGGGCUGCACACGUGCUACAAUGAUUAUUGCAGUGAGCAUCUAAUACUAAAGUUUUUUUAUUAUUUUUUUAUAUUUUAUUUUUAAAAUAUAUUUUUAUAAUAAAAUCUUUAAACCUGCUUCGAAAGUUUAGCAGGCAAUCAAUUGGAAGUAAUGAUUUCCCCUUUUCUGCUUUAUAUACAUAUUUUUUAAAUAUUAUAUUCUGUUCAGAAUUGACGCACUUUUAUAUGCUUUAUUUAAUUGAUUUUUUAUAAUAUUUUUUUAAUUUUAUAUAAAAAUACUUUUAAUUAAAUGCAUGUGCCCUAAUUCUUUUAAAUUUUUAUAUGUAUAUUUUUUUAUAUAUAUAUAUAUAAUUUAAAAUAAAAUUCGUGGUGGGGACARACCAUUGCUAAUUGUUGGWCUCGGWCUUAACUAGGAAUGCCUUGUACGGGUCUU
This 1108-nucleotide ribosomal RNA is filed under the name Arnoldiellina fluorescens. Its description in RNAcentral is "partial 18S ribosomal RNA". The stretch from base 22 to 694 matches the Rfam family "Eukaryotic small subunit ribosomal RNA", at positions 1189 to 1520 of the family's 1831-position model. Lineage: Eukaryota; Foraminifera. The record is from RNAcentral.